This 72-nucleotide transfer RNA is filed under the name Erinaceus europaeus (western European hedgehog). It matches the Rfam family "tRNA". Rfam says of the family: Transfer RNA (tRNA) molecules are approximately 80 nucleotides in length. Their secondary structure includes four short double-helical elements and three loops (D, anti-codon, and T loops). Lineage: Eukaryota; Metazoa; Chordata; Mammalia; Eulipotyphla; Erinaceidae. The record is from Rfam by way of RNAcentral.
UGGACUAUAGCUCAGUGGUAGAGUACACGUUUUGUACUUAUGAGGCCUGGGGUUCGAUCCUCAGUACUCAAA